GGCUCUUCCUGUUCUUGUUUCACCUGCAGAGGUUCUAACUCCUCCUGGUCCAGAGUGGAUCUCCUCUCCUGGUUAUAAACGUUACACUUCAGGGAAUCUGGAGAAGAAAACAGAGAAAAAGAUAAUCCAGGCCAUUGCCAUGGCGAAGCCUUUGCCAGACAUUUCUCCAUCAAGUAUUGCACCAUCUACAAGAAACUUUGGGGGUUGCCAGUGAAGCUGUCCUUCACAUUCUCGAGCAGAUGACCCAAGAACUUCAAUCACAGAAGACAACUUUUCAGCUCUGUGGUGAUCAUGAAACCAGCUGCCUACUGGCCAUUUGAACAUAAGAAGUUAAAAGUAAUUGAACUCAUGUCUCCAUUUCAACAAGCCAAUAACAUCUCUUGUUCCAGUAUUUACAGGAUAAAUUUUUGGAAUUUUGCCUUAA
Molecule: long non-coding RNA, 424 nt
Organism: Gambusia affinis (western mosquitofish)
Lineage: Eukaryota; Metazoa; Chordata; Actinopteri; Cyprinodontiformes; Poeciliidae
Exons: 3
Source: RefSeq, a predicted model, not a curated record